UUUUCACGAAGUGACGGAUAAGAGGAAAAUUGUCACUUUUUUCAAUUUUGAGUUUUUUGCAUUUUUGGACAUCUAUGACUUAUAUCUUGAACCUCAAAAAGUUUCAGAUCACAAUAAUGUCUAAUUACGUUGCUAUGACGACAUGACAUUCAAUAAAAUACCGGGUAAAAGGAUUUCUUGUUUUCACGAAGUGACGGAUAAGCAGCCGUCAUUACGUGAAAACAAACGAAUACGCUUUGCACUCAAGAGUUUUUUCACGAAGUGACGGAAGGCAAAUAUUUACAGUUUGGAACAGCCGAAGACCAUGAAAUGAUGCAGUAUAUACAAUAAGUGAUGUUUCAGAGAACAAAUGAGAGAAGUCCUGGAACUGGUACACUUGUUGCUGAUGGUCAGAUACAAUUCCAGGUUAGAUCCAGGGGCCGACACGCUUGUCAGAUGUGUCAUUGAUGAUUCCCUGAACAUCGCAGAUAUGAUCUGAUUUGGUGACAUGACAGUGGAAUUGGUAGUGACUGGAUUUUUAUAGUGUGCCCUGGUUUUGAACUAUUGAAGUAACCAAACUAGAAACAUCUUCUGAGAACUCUGACUGCAAUUCUAAUGAUGAAACUCUGUCUACACUUGUGAAAAUGUGAAGGAGUUGGGUCUACCUCGUGGCCUUUCAGGUUCAGUGCUCUCAUCUAACUUUUUCUUUUUCCAGCUGGGUAACUGAUAUCAAUUUUAAUUUUCUUGAGAUUUUGACUUCAACAUAAGUUUAGUUUUAAUUUUGAUAGGACUUUCAAAUCUGGUUUCAUUUUUAGAGCAGUGUAUUAUAUAAAGAAACUAUACUGCUUGAACUAUAAGUCUCUGCUCUUAUAGUGAUAUGAUUAUGAACUCCUUUAAAAAUAUUUUAUAUAUACAGUCAAAUAUAAAGUUCAGAAUAGUCACUUAUCUUCUAUACUUACAUGUUAAAAUUGCUUAUACACAUCGUCCACAUAUGGAUGCAGAAUAAUUACCAUUUUUCAUUCAUUUGAUUCGCAUGUUUUCAUUUUGCUUGGUGCUAUCUAAAAAACAGAAAUACUGCAUAUUUCUACAUUUAAAAUAAAACUGAAUGUUAUUAGCUGUAUUGUGCUUAAAUGAAUUGUGUUAAUACUACAUAUUCUUUAAUAAUAACAAUCAUACAAUUUAGACUGACAUGCAUUGUGAUACUCGAUAGCUGCAUGAUAUAUUACUAGUAAGGAUGUAGGGGUGAAAAUCAUAUUAGGUUUUUGUACAUUCAUUUUCAAAAGCCAAAUGUAUUAAUACAGACACCCCCCCCCCCCCCCCCCCCUCUUCCAUGAGGUAAUGUUUUAUUGGUUUAUCAGGGGUGUGAGAAUUCUUAAGCUGAUUUUAGUUAUUUUUUGCUUUUUAUUUUAAGCUUGAUAUCCCCCAUUUCUGUACAAUAGUUUGAGAGCUCAUUCAAUUUAAUCCCCCAACUCUUUACAGAAUUUUCAGGUCUUUAUUUGUCAUCGCUCACACACCUGGUUCAUGCAGUUGAUGUGUCGUAAUUUUAUUCCAGAAAAUCCAACUGUUAGAUUUUGUUAUUCACGAAAGAAGUAAUACAUGAUUAUGUUUAGCUGGAGGUUAAAGAUACACUGCAGCACAUGUUUUUCUGUCUAUUUGUAGUAAGAAUUUUACUCUUUUUUUUAAUCGCACUAGAUCAAAGAUGUUAUUUUCUAAAACCAUGAAGACGAUUUUUUUAAGUUUUCAGAUUUGGAAGAAACUAAGGUGUAUUUUAAUAUAUGUUCCUGUUUUGGACUCUGACAAUAAUUUGCAAUUAAAAAACAAGUGUUUGAUUGGAAAAUGUAUUGAUGAAUGUUAUUUAGCCAAUGACUUGAGAAUGAUGGAAAAAAUACAAAUCUACUUAGUCAUUCGUAUUUUUUAUCCUUGCAUUUUUUUUUUGCUUUUGUCGCUGUUUGGAAUUUUGAUUAUAAAUUUGUUUAAAAAAUUAUCCUGUU
This 1970-nucleotide long non-coding RNA is filed under the name Lytechinus variegatus (green sea urchin). Its description in RNAcentral is "uncharacterized LOC121406374". The record is from RNAcentral. Lineage: Eukaryota; Metazoa; Echinodermata; Echinoidea; Temnopleuroida; Toxopneustidae.